Molecule: ribosomal RNA, 489 nt
Filed under: uncultured bacterium
Lineage: Bacteria
Description: bacterial SSU rRNA
Rfam family: Bacterial small subunit ribosomal RNA
Source: RNAcentral
GACGAACGGCUGGCGGCGUGGAUUAGGCAUGCAAGUCGAACGGUAUCAUCCUUUCGGGGGUGAGAGAGUGGCGAACUGGUGAGUAACACGUAGGUUAUCUACCCUCAAGACGGGGGACAACCCAGGGAAACUUGGGCUAAUACCGGAUGUGAGCAACUUUUAGUUGUUUGAAAGGUGGCGUAAGCUGUCGCUUGGGGAUGAGCCUGCGUCCUAUUAGUUAGUUGGUGAGGUAACGGCUCACCUAGGCAAUGAUAGGUAGGCGGCCUUAACGGGUGGUCGCCCACACUGGGAUUGAGAUACGGCCCAGACUCCUACGGGAGGCAGCAGUCGAGAAUAGUCUACAAUGGUCGGAAGACUGAUAGUGCGACGCCGCGUGAACGAUGAAUCCCUUCGGGGUGUAAAGUUCUUUUAUAUGUGAGCAGUGCUUCUUAUAUUAACAGUAUGGGGAGAGAGAUAUUAGCAUAUGAAUAAGCAACGGCUAACUCCGUG